UCUUGAAAAAUUUAAACUGAAUGGUAGAAGCAAAAUUUUGAGGAUAAAUUUAACCAUUUCUGUUCGCAUGAAAUCCCAGAGGCAACUUCUAAAAUAAUACCUCUUAGAUCAUGUCUCUCCAGUAUUUGCCAACCACCUCAUUUAAAUACUACUACAAUUUCGGGAGUAAAAUGCCAACUAGCUGGUCAAGAUAAACUGAUCAAGUUAAAUCACGUAUUCCUAGCAUGAGUAGCAUCAGCUUUGAUGGCAGAUCUUCAGUUUUGCUUGCCACACCAAAACUGAGACAAGUAUGAACAAUUUUGUCGACUAAGUAAGCAUAUUCCCGAAGUCUCUAAAAUGCCGUAGACUUUAAGACUGUCAACGUUCCAGCGUUAAUUCAUAAUUUGCUCAGCUUUCAUUACCUACCUUGU
RNAcentral lists this long non-coding RNA (410 nucleotides) under Capsicum annuum. RNAcentral describes it as "long non-coding RNA (CANN_LNC004811)". Lineage: Eukaryota; Viridiplantae; Streptophyta; Magnoliopsida; Solanales; Solanaceae. The record is from RNAcentral.